RNAcentral lists this long non-coding RNA (231 nucleotides) under Lathyrus oleraceus (garden pea). RNAcentral's name for it is "Pisum sativum (pea) long non-coding RNA (PSAT_LNC026071)". Lineage: Eukaryota; Viridiplantae; Streptophyta; Magnoliopsida; Fabales; Fabaceae. The record is from RNAcentral.
UCUUCUGACCCUCUUUGAUUUCUUCAAGAAUACCACCCGUCAGUUUCAACAUACCCAACUUCACACUAUUAGGAGUCUAUUCACAUAUAAAACUCGUGUUUCUUAAUUGCUCGAUCAACUCGAACUCUCGAACCACCAACAUUGACAUAUGCAAAGACUUCCUGCUCAAUGCGUUAGCUACAACAUUAGCCUUAUUCGCAUGGUAACUCAAGGAAAAUCAUAAUCAUUCAG